UACGUAGGGACCAAGCGUUGUCCGGAAUCAUUGGGCGUAAAGCGCGCGUAGGUGGCCAUUUAAGUCCGCUGUGAAAGUCAGAGGCUCAACCUUUGAAAGCCGGUGGAUACUGGAUGGCUAAAGUACGGAGGAGGCGAGUGGAAUUCCUGGUGUAGCGGUGGAAUGCGCAGAUAUCAGGAGGAACACCAAUAGCGAAGGCAGCUCGCUGGGACGUUACUGACACUAAGGCGCGAAAGCGUGGGGAGCGAACAGG
Molecule: ribosomal RNA, 253 nt
Filed under: uncultured bacterium
Lineage: Bacteria
Description: partial 16S ribosomal RNA
Rfam family: Bacterial small subunit ribosomal RNA
Source: RNAcentral